RNAcentral lists this ribosomal RNA (182 nucleotides) under Atheta sp. 4 BT-2011. RNAcentral's name for it is "partial 28S ribosomal RNA". It matches the Rfam family "Eukaryotic large subunit ribosomal RNA", at positions 663 to 817 of the family's 3401-position model. Lineage: Eukaryota; Metazoa; Arthropoda; Insecta; Coleoptera; Staphylinidae. The record is from RNAcentral.
GGACCAAGGAGUCUAGCAUGUGCGCGAGUCAUUGGGACUAUCGAAUCCUAAAGGCGUAAUGAAAGUAAACGUUGAGCUUGCUUGACUUAGGGAAGAUGGGUGUCAAUUGACGCUUCGCACUCCCGGGGCGUCUCGUUCUCAUUGCGAGAUGGGGCGCACCUAGAGCGUACACGCUGGGACCC